Xyrichtys novacula (pearly razorfish) is the source of this 3711-nucleotide non-coding RNA. Lineage: Eukaryota; Metazoa; Chordata; Actinopteri; Labriformes; Labridae. The record is from the annotation of a GenBank genome assembly.
AGAAGACAGAAGCCAGACUAGACCAGAGACCAAGACUGGAGAACAGAGUGGAGACCAGAUGAGUCCAGACCAGAGAAGAGCUGAGGGGGCAGCCGACAUCGCAAACUGACAAAAAAAAAAAAGAUAAAUAUAUUUUAUCCUUAAUUUCAUCCCCAAUUGUUUCACUGUAAAAUUGUUUCAGUCGGAGUCUUCAGUGGUGUUAUAACUUUUCUUUUUCCUCUUAUGUGAUUUGUCUUGUACAGAGAAGACAGAAAACCAGUCCAGACCAGAUACCAGCUGAGGGGGCAGCAUACCUUACAAGCCAUCUUUAAAAAAUAACGUAAGUUUUUCCCAUGCCAUAUUUUUUUUGUUGUUUUGAUCAAAAUUACUUCACUGUAAAUAUUAUUUUAAAAUUGUCUUCACUUGUUAACUUCUUUUGUCGCCCACAUUAUUUGUCCUUUACAGAAAGGAAACAAGUCUAGACCAGACUGGAGGUGUAUAGAUGAUGUCUGAAAUCAGCGUGUUCGUUUUUGUGGUCAGUUGGACUGGAACAUGAAGCUGUGGUGGCCUCACUGUGAAGCUCUCAUCGCCUACCUGAUGACCUACAGUCACACUAAGAGACCAGAGCUGCUGGAGAGAUUCUCUCAGGUGUAUGAGUACACCUUCAGUCACGUGAGUUAUUACUGAGGGAAACGUACCCGAGGAAAAAUCUCAUGCUACACCUCUGAAGUGUUAAAUGUCAACAAACGACCGUCAUGAUGACUUGUAACUUAUGAAGCCUCACUUAAGAAGCACUGAAAUAUUCCUUUAAUGUUCAUAUUGUAGAAACAUUGGGUAGAAUAGAAAAGAAAAGAAGUUGUAGAGAAGAAAAAAGAUGUUAAAAUAGACGAAAAAGAGAUGCCAAAAAUAGAAUAGCAGAGACUAGUAAUGGGAGUGUGCUACAUAACCGUGCAAGAUUAACGAAGACAGGGCCCAUAUCUUCUUAACGGUAAGACAAUGUGUAAAUUAGUGACUAAUGUGAACGUCUAGCUCAAAAAGGAUAGUCGAAUUCGGGGCGUGGAAAGAAAAAGUGAGGAGUAAAACCCGGAGCCCAGGGUAAUUGGCAAAUAAAUGAUGAAAAGAGAUAAAGAGUAAAAGAGACAAAGUGAAAAAGAGAAAAAGGCUGAGAUGGCCCAGGAAUAGAGAAGAAAAAGGCUGAGAUGGCCGAAAAAGAGAAAAAGUUAACUUAAUGUUAGGGACGACGCGAUUGGGCAUACAAACCGGUGAGGACAGUUUAAAGAAGGAAAAAAGGCCUAUAUACUAUAGUAAGGAAACACUGAGCUCAGUGAGAAGAGGUGUGCUGAAAUUUGAGUGCGUGAGAGAAGCUUCUGGUGUGUGUGUGUGCGUGCGUGCGUGCGUGCGUGCGUGCGUGCGUGCGUGCGUGCGUGCGUGCGUGCGUGCGUGCGUGCGUGCGCGCGCGUGUGUGUGUGUGUGUGUGUACACAAAGUUGGGGAAUGAUCUAGCAUAGGUUUAAGUGAUUAACUUAUGAUAAAGUGAUAAAUGAUGUCUUAUUAAAUAUAUAAUGAUAUGAUAUAAGAAAUUACCGUAUAAGGGAAGAGAUACUGUUGCCUUUGUAGUGCUAAAAAAAACAUAUGAGCCCUGGUUUCUUUGUACAGGGACGUUAAUAGAAUAGGUAACUGCUAUGAGCCUCUCAGGAUAAAGAGGACGUUUGUACACCUAAUAGUAAGAAAUGAGCCCCUUAUUAGAUGAGGAGGACUUUGGAUGGUGAUAACAUGCUCGAUUAAAAUGACAAUUAAAGAAGUGUACACAAGCACAUUUUUGUUCAUACAGAUACAGGAAAAAACAGAGUGAAAGAUUGGAAUGAUUUGCUGACUGAUGGGUGUGGUUUCCCUCUGUGUGUGUGUGAAUAUUUAAAGUGAAUGGUCACUUGCUGAUGAUCAUGUUUAGAGGGAAGUCCUAGUUAAAAAUUGGAAAAAUCCAGGAAGCUUUUCCUCCCUCUUUCUUUCUCUUCUUACAGGCCUGAGAACAGAAAGAAAGCUAAAAAAUCUAGUUUAACUAUCCUAGUUGCGUGAAAAUUUUAAAUGAUAUACCAUGAUAAGGGGAUUGGGGUAUAAUAAAUUUAGGUAGUCUUAUGGUAGAAGAAAUCUUUAAAUAGUGGUAGUAAACGUUUUAAAUUGUAUUGAAUGAAGUGAUUGUAAUGUACUAAACAUUUGAUUUGUCUUUUGUCCCUAACUCUGAUGCAUGAGCGGGGAGAGGAGAAUGAAAGGAGUCUGACGUUGGAGCUCCCAUGAGACAGAUAAGAAGAUAAAUGGCUGUGCUGCAAACAAGAGAGGGCUUGCGGAUGAGAGGCUCACCAGGUCCUGCUCCCAUUUGACAGGCCAGUACAGUUUUGUCUACAAACUCUUCUCCGAUGUGUCUGCUGCUACUUAGUUGUACAUACACACAUUAAUAGUGGGAACACAUUUAGUUGGGUGUUUAUAUUUGUUAGUGCUAGACAAUAAGAGCAGUAGUUUUGUUGGUAAAAAGAAAGGCUUGGCAAUAGAAAUAUUGCAUAACCAGAUUUAUUAACCCAGUCUGUUAAUGUUCACUUUUAAUUCAUAGAUGAUUGAACCAAAAAAAUAGUAAUUUACUUUUUUAUCUUUGGAUUUACUGAGAAAACUGUUCUGCUCACAGCUGUGGUCAAUUUACUCAUGUUGUAUUUUAUUUGUCAUUUCAUUUUAGAGAGGAGAUGAAACCAGACCAGAUGAUAGCAGACCAGACCAGAGAGGAGCUGAGGGGGCAGCCUGCAUCACAAACUAUCUUCAAAAGAAAGGUAAAUUUUUUUUUUUUAAAUUCCUCCUUAUUUACUGGUAACUGUUACAUUAUUUUACAAGUAUCUGAAAAUUUUAAUUAACCUUCCCUUUUUUUCUCUCCAAGUUAUUUGUCUGUUAUAGAAAUGAAACAAGCCUAGACCAAACUGGAGAAGACCAGAGUGGACCAGAUGAUAGCAGACCAGACCAGAGAGGAGCUGAGGGGACAGCCUGCAUCGCAAACCAUCUUUAAAAAAAAGAUACAUUAACUUUAUUCUAAUAUAUUAUUCUAAUUCAUUUCCGGAUGUAUUUUUAAAUUUAGGAUUCAAAUGUUAGUAUUUAAGGUUAAGUAAUGCUUCUACUAUUACAAUUACUUAUACUUUUACUCUGGAAUUUAUUUGUGUGUCAUAUAGUGGAGAAGACAGAAACCAGACUAGACCAGAGACCAAGACUGGAGAACAGAGUGGAGACCAGAUGAGUCCAGACCAGAGAAGAGCUGAGGGGGCAGCCGACAUCGCGAACUGACAAAAAAAAAAAAAGAUAAAUAUAUUUUAUCCUUAAUUUCAAUCACAAUUGUUUUACUGUACAAUUGUUUCAGUUGGAGUCUUCAGUGGUGUUAUAACUUUUCUUUUUCCUCUUAUGUGAUUUGUCUUGUACAGAGAAGACAGAAAACCAGUCCAGACCAGAUACCAGCUGAGGGGGCAGCAUACCUUACAAGCCAUCUUUAAAAAAUAACGUAAGUUUUUCCCAUGCCAUAUUUUUUUUUUGUUUUGAUCAAAAUUACUUCACUGUAAAUAUUAUUAUUUCAAAAUUGUCUUCACUUGUUAACUUCUUUUGUCUCCCACAUUAUUUGUCCUUUACAGAAAGGAAACAAGUCUAGACCAGACUGGAGGUGUAUAGAUAAUGUCUGAAACCAGCGUGUUCGUUUUUGUGGUCAGUUGGA